Molecule: long non-coding RNA, 17781 nt
Filed under: Vitis vinifera (wine grape)
Lineage: Eukaryota; Viridiplantae; Streptophyta; Magnoliopsida; Vitales; Vitaceae
Description: long non-coding RNA (VVIN_LNC004023)
Source: RNAcentral
UAACUCCCUAUAGAAUGACCCUCACUUAAGCUGAAAUUGUCUCUCUACCGAUUCACUAUUUCUAUUUCACACAUUUUUUUCAGCUCUCACUUAAAACCCUUGAAUCCCAGAAAAAGAAAACCUAUUCCUCUCAUCCUCAGUUCCUUUGUAAAACCCUUUUCCUUUUCUUUCCUUAGUUGGUUUCUUCCUUACGCUCCCCUCCCCCCAACGACCUCAAAACUGUCCUCAAAAUCUUCUCACACACCUGUCACUUGCUGAUUGCCUCUUCCAAAAACGCCUACUUCCACUAACAGGGCAGCUGCCACUUCCUAAUGACCUCUCCAAAGAUGACACGUGGACCUCUAAAAACCUACCAUGUGGCAAAAACAAAUAAGUGCAAAAAAUAAACCCAAAACGGGGGUUUACAGGACUCCCCCGCCUCCUUUGGCUGCUUCGAGCCCUCUACCACCCCAACAAUGAGCACUUCCUCCACCUCAGUAGCUGCGUAAGCCCAUAAGAGAGGGCGGAGCUUUCCGCAUCUAUUGGGUCUGUUGUUGUCUUCGCCGUUGCAGAGAAUGUUAAUGUUGUUGGGAACGUUGAUGCGGUGAAUCUUCACGACUCCAUGCCCAUUGCUUCCCUGCUUCUAUUAGACACAAAUAACAAUAAUUAAAGUCUUUUUUUAAUGAAGCAACAAAGGACUUCAUAGAUUUCCUCUUCAACCUUCGGUUUUUGCCCAUUGGAACUGUGGUCAAUAUCCUUGCAAAGAAGAGCAAUGCAGGUGGUUUUGGUAACUAGUAUGAAAUUGUCAAAAAUCUCAAUGAAAGCACCUACCAUAACUGGACUCACACUUAAUUAAACAAUUAUAUUAAGUUUUGUUUGGCUCUAUGAUAGGGUUUGAAGAUGCUGAAGGAAGGUUGGUUAUGUGAGAUAUUUCAUGAGAACAUUGCCUACACCAUCACUAAGAAAGAAUAGAACUCGGAAAAAAUAUAUAAAUACUUUAGAGGAUAAGGGAAAGAACAAAAAUUCAAAACCAUACUAACAAGAAGAGAAUCAAAACCAUUAUUAAAGGAGGAGAAAGGAAAGAACCAAAACCACUUUGUCUUUGCUUAAUUAUAUAAUGAAUUUAAAACAAGAAAAAAAAAACACUUUUUAGGAUCGAGUAGGGAGAGAAUCAAAAUUCAAAACCAUACUUGCAAAGAAGAAAACCAAAACCAUUAAUUGAGGAGAAAGGAAAGAACCAAAACUACUUUGUCUUUGCUUAUAUAAUGAAUUUAAAACAAGAAGAAAAAAUAAAAAUUUUUAGAAGGUAAAGAAUCAAAAUUCAAAACCAUACUUGUAAGAAAAGGACCAUUAAUUGAGGAGAAAGGAAAGAACCAAAACCACUUUGUCUUUGCUUAUAUAAUGAAUCUAAAACAAGAAGAGAGCCAUUAUUUCCACUUCAAGAUCACUAUUUAGCUAUUUUAAUUUCAUCUCCUUUUAUGUUCUCUCUAUUUGAGUUUUCUGUAGAAGCUCAAUUCUAGGUAAAGUUAGUGGACUACUUUUCUUUUGGAAAUGGCUUCCAAUCCAUAUAAGCUUAUCAAACUUGGUUGAGUUAUAAGUUUGUCAAUUUCCUUGUUUUCUUGAUGAAUUAAUCCAUAUAGAUAUUAUCUGCUUAUAUGUUUAUUGAUUUCUUUAUUUUCUUGAUAGAUUAAUCUGUGUAGAUAUUGUUCAUUUUGGACUUAAAGAAUUCUCACGAUUUAAAAACGUGUUUAUAAAAUUAGGAAGAAUUCAUACAUAAAUAGCAUCAAAUUUUUUUUUUUCUCCUAUCUAAUUUGGGAUUUUUGGUUUAUAUAUAGCAACAAUAUCUACAGGAUUGAAAUUGAAUUAUUAUAUAACUAAUCUUGGUUUUAUGAUCCAAUUCAUGCAUGGCAACCAAAGUGACCCCUAAGAUGAGCUUGAAGCUUCUAAUCAACAAAAAUGAUGAUAAAGUUGUCUUCGCUGAAGCUGAAAAAGAUUUCGUAGAUUUCCUAUUCAACCUUCUGACUUUGCCGAUUGGCACCACGACGAGUUUUCUUCCAAAAGGAAUUUGCCUAGGAGGCCUGCAUGAGAGUAUCAAAAAACUCGAUGGAGCUUACCUGCAACCUAACCAGAGCGCGGACUCGCCCCUGAAAUUGAAUACACUAGCCUAUGCUAUUCUUCCUUUCUUUAAUUCUUCUUCAUCGAGGAGUCAUGGUCAUGUGCAGGGCUUAGUUACCUACAUGGUGCCUGAUGACUUGUCGAUUACACCCAUGUCCAUGGCAACAACCAUGGCUUUGUUUAAGAAGUACAACAUAGAAGAAGUUGAUGUUCUCGAGGAGAAGAUGGUUGCAAUUAGCCUUGAUGAGGUAAACAAUUAUCUGGCUUGUUGGGUUUUAAUUGAUUUCUUUUCUGGCUUAUUCUCUUGCAGAUUUGGUUGGGGUUUGGAGUUAAUUUUUUUCCCAUAACAUAAUUAAUUAGGAGAUAUUACUUGUAAAUCAAUUAUUAAAUUAUUAUACCUUGUUGGGUAAUUGAUUUUUGAAAUAGUUUUCUAUUCAACAAAAUAAAAAGAAAAAACAUAUUUUCAAUUAGGAAAUAAAAAACAUGAUGUUUUUAAAUUAAGUUUUUUAGUUAAUUAUUUCCAUUUAUUUUCUAAGAUUUAUUCUAAAAAUAAUAAUAUAAAUAUGGAAGAAUGAUUAAAAAUAAAAUAUUACAUGUAACACUAUUUUUAAAACAUAUCUAGAAACAUUAAAAAAAAAAAAAAGAAUUACAGAACGUUUUAGAUUCUUCAAUAGGCUUGUUCUGCAAAAUAUCAUAAAUAAUUUUAAAAAACCAUUCUCAAAAAGUUUUUUCCAUGAAUGUUUUAAAAAACAUAUCCUAAAUUUUUUUCUAAAGUUUUGAAAGGAAUUUUCUGCCAACCAUCUACCAUUAAACCGCCUAGCCAUCAAAUUUACCGUCAACCACUGACCCUUGAACUGCCUAGCCAUCAAAUCGACUGCCAACCAUCAACCAUUGAACCGCCUCGCCAUCAAACGGACUGCAAACCCCGCCUAAACCAGCAACCACAUUGGUGACCAUCCAAAUAAAGCCCAUGUUGGGCUCUAUGGUAAACCCAGGAGUUGUGGAGAUGUCAUUCCUUUGGAUGCGUAAUGUAUUAAAAGGCCUCCUCGUUUUUAUCACCACCAGAUGUGGGAUUGAUUAGUUUCAAGAAAAGUCAAUGAAAAAAAAAUCCCACCUCAAGUUGAGGAGAUAGCAUAGGCACCAUUCGGCUACACACAUUUAAAUGCUAAACCAUCAAAAGCAACCAAGCUGAUUCAAUUUUUAACAAUUGUGAAGUUUUGGUUAGGUUUUGUUAUUGUGGAAAUUGAUUUAGUUGAUUCAAUUUUCAAUUUUCUUGAUUCCUAAUCAAUAAAAAUUAAAUCAAAUUGAUAUUUCUUAUAAUUUAUAAUGGUUUCCCGUUGAAUGAAUUUUUUUUUUUUUAUCUGUUACUUUCAUUAUUAUGUAUAUUACAUGGACUCAAUUUAAUUAAUUCAUUAUUGAUAAAUUAUAGUCAAAACAAUCUUCAAAUACAUCAAUUAUAGAACAAAAAUAUAUAUAAAAACUUAAAAUGUUCUUAAUCCAUUUUUCAUAUUUUUAAAUAUAUUUUAAAAAUAUAUUUUAUCCUAAUACUUUAUUUUUAAGUAUUUUUCAUAUUUGUAUAAUUAUUCUUUAAAAUAAAAUUUAGAAAAUAAGCAAAAAUAAUAAAAAAGAUGUUCCUUAAAAACACAAUAUUUUUUAUUUUUUAGAAUAAAAAGAUAUUUUCUAUCUUUAAAAAUAAAAAAUUAAUUUCUAUUUGUAGAAUUAAUGAAGGGCUAAAUCCAUCAAUUUAUAUAUAAAAUGAUUUACAUAAUAAAAAUGCAUGAGACGUGAUUUGACCUAACCGUACGUCCAUGAAUAAGAAAAACUAUUUUAUCAUGCAUAACAUAGAAAAUAUCAUAAAGAAUAUAAACCCAUUACAAAAACAAUUAUUUACGGCCACGUGGUGGGUUGUGAAAUAUGAAAUUUCUGGAAAAGAGUAUGGGAUGAUUGGGCUUGGGAGGAUGGAGGGUGGAUAUGAACCGAGAGCCGCCCAGAAGGGGCCCACUAAGAAGAUAGGUGCACACUAAGUUACAUAGUAUUAGUUUGGUGGGCUAAUAAUGGAACAAAAGGGUGGGGCCCAUUUCCUUAAUGUUGGAAUCAUAAUAUACUGGCCCAACUUGACAGGGCGGUGUUUACUUUGAUGCAGAUUGCUGACAUGGCACUUUUUCCCCAGAUAUUUUUUAUUUUACCAAAAUUUCUUCAACUUCUACAUUUAGAUUUUUUUUUCCCUCUGUAUAAUUAUUUAAAUUAUAUAUUCGAUAAAAAUUUUUAAAAAAAAAUUAAAAAAUGUGCAGAAAAAUUUCAACUUUUUAGAAUGUUGGGGAAAAUAGUUUUGAAAAACAGUUUUUAAGAAUUGUUUUGUAAAAAAUUGCUUUGAAAAACAGUUGUAUGAUAAGAAUAUGAUUUGGGGAAUAAAGUUGAGAAGAAGAUUAGGAUGGAAAGAGGCACAGGUGGAAGAGGGAGGAAAACACAAACUGAAAGUAGAAUAUCUGGUUGGUUCCAGGACAAGGUGGUGAGCCCACAUCGAAUCCAAGGAUUAGCUUUGAAACUACUACUCACGGCAUCUUUGCAGACCAAGCAAGCUUCUGCCAUUGGUUUCCUUUGUAAAAUGGCCUAGCUUAUAUAUCUAUCGUCAAAAGUAUAAAUUUGCAUUAUUAGCCCCAAUGAACAUGAAUCUGGAGGCAUUUUUUUCAGAGAAAUGCAGCUCUUUGGAAAAAAAAACCUCAUGAAAUCUCAAAUCGCUUGCACUUAAUUGCAGACUAAGUCAGAACUGUAAGUUUUCUUUUUGGGAAAAUAUAACUCUUCCCAAUUCCAGAAGGCAUUCAUGCUGUGAACCAUAUAUGUUGAAUUUUGAUUGGUUUUGUGAUAGGGUUUUAAGCUGCUGAAGGAAGCAUCAUUGCAGUCCAACACGUUCUAACCAGCAUCGUCCAUAGAAGUAAUAAAGAAUAGUAUUAAAAAAAAAAGGGCUUUUGAGGAUAAGAGAAAACCAUUAAUUUAAGAGAAAGGAAUGGACCAAAGCGCCACUUUGCCCUAUGCUAAUUAUAUAAUGAAUUUAAAAGAAGAAGAGAGCCAUUAAUUUUCACUUGCACUUUUACGAAGUGCAUUAAAUCAUAGGGGUUACGUGCACUUAAUUCAUUUAGAUCAACCAUUAAACUUCCCCACACAGGCCUCCCAAGUAUAUAUGGGUUCAUGGAAACAUGCUCCAAGUAUAUAUCGUCUGUUUAUCUGAGCGGCUUUUAAAUAGUAGAAACAAUGGCAGAAACCACAAUGAAGUUGAAUCUUGUAAUAGACAAGAACAGUCAGAAAGUCCGAUCCUCUAUACUGAAGCAGAAAAUGACUUCGUAGAUUUCCUCUUCAAUCUUUUUACAUUACUCGUUGGGACUGUUAUUAUGCUUCUUACAGAGAAGGGCAUGAUGGGUUGCCUGAGAGAUUUGUAUCAGAGCGUUGAAAAUUUGAGUGAAACUUACAUGCAGCCAAAUCAGAACAAGCCUCUACUAAAACCCAUUUUCCUAAGGUCGAGUUACUGCACUUUACCAACCCCCAAAAAGUUUUAUAUCUGUUUAUGAUGAAAUUUUUAUUUAAAAGUUAUCUAUGUUCUAAUAUAAUGUUAUUAUUAAAACUUAGGUAGUCAAUUCUAAAUUAAUAAAUGUUUGAUUAAAUCUAAAAAUCUAAAUAUUUAUAAAAAUCUUUAAAUUAAACUAAACAUAACCUACAAAUAAAAAAGAUAUUUGAUAAAAUAUCAAAUAUUUAAAUUAAAUUAAAAUUUACCAACAAUUAAAAUAACAUAUGUUUGAAUAAUUAUGUACCUAGUCAUGAAGUAAAAAAUACUUGAUUAAACUUAAAAGUCUAAACAUUUAAAAAUCUCUUGAAAUUAAACAAAACAUAGCCCACAGUAAAAAAUAUAUAUUUAAUAAAAUAUCAAAUACAAAAUUAUAAAAACUUAUUUUUCUAGAUUUAUUUUAUGUAUAUUAGGAUUUAAAUAAAUUUAAUUUUAUUAACAUUAAAUAAAAUUUAAAAUAUAAACAAACAAAUAUUUUAUAAAAUCUAUUCAAUGUUCAUGGUUAUCUAAUUUUUUAUUAUAUCUAUUUUUCUUUCACACACAAAAUUAGUUUUUUAGAGGGUAAACUUGCAUUUUUAUUUUUAGUUUUUAACUUUCUAAAAUUCCUAAAUAAGCAAAAGAAUUUUUUAUUUUUAAAAUAUGAGCGGGGGCAUAUACCCCCAAGCCUAUGGUGGCUUUGCCCUUGGCUAAAGGAAGCUUGGAUGUGAGAUAUUCCUUGAGAACCAUUGUCUAUACCAUUGCUAAAAAAGAAUAGAACCCAAAAACUUUUUGGGAAAGGGGAAAAAAUCAAAAUUCAAAGCCAUACUCGCAAGAAGAGAAUCAAAACCAUUAAUUGAGAGGAAGGGAAAGAAUCAAAACCACUUUAUCUUUGCUUAUAUAAUGAAUUUAAAACAAAAAGAAAACAAAUAUACUUUUUAGGAUUGAGAAAGGAAAGAAUCCAAGUUCAAAACCAUACUUGCAAGGAGAGAACCAAAACCAUUAAUUGAAGAGAAAGGAAAGAACCAAAACCACUUUGUCUUUGCUUAUAUAAUGAUUUUAAAACAAGAAGAGCACCACAAAUUCCACUUCAAGAUCACUAGUCAUCUAUUUUAAUUUCAUCUCCUUUUUCUCUCUCUAUUUUAGUUUUCUGUAGAAGCUCACUUUUAGGUACUUAAAAGUUAGUGGACUACUUUUUUGGUGGAAAUGGCUUUCAACUCAUGUAAGCUUACCAAACUUGGUUGAGUUGUAUGUUUGUUAAUUUUCUUGUUUUCUUGAUAAAUUAAUCCGUAUAGAUAUUAUCUGCUUCGAGUCUAAAGCAUUCUCAUGAUUUAAAAACACAUUUAUAAAAUUAAGAGGAGUUUAUACAUAAAUAGCGUCAAAUUUUUUUUCUCCUAUCUAUUAUGAGAUUUCAUGUAUAUAUAUAUUCAACUCACAUAAGCUUACCAAACAUGGGGUUGAGUUAUAUGUUUGUAAGUUUCCUUGUUUUCUUGAUAAAUUAAUCCAUAUAAAUAUUAUUCACUUUAGGCUUAAAGAGUUCUCACGAUUUAAAAACAUGUUUAUAAAAUUAAGAGGAGUUGAUAUAUAAAUGUAUAGCAUCAAAAUUUCUUUCUCCUUACCAAACUUGGCUGAGUUAUAUGUUUGUUAAUUUCCUUAUUUUCUUGAUAAAUUAAUCCAUGUAGAUAUUAUCUACUUCAAACUUAAAAAGUUCUCACAAUUUAAAAGCACGUUUAUAAAUUAAAGGGAGUUAAUACAUAAAUAAUGUCAAAAAAUUUUGUUAGUUUGUUUCCUCGUUAGUUAAUGCAUAAAUAAUAUCAUAUAUAGCGUUAACUCUGGUAAGCUUACCAAGCAUGGGGUUGAGUUAUAUGUAUGUUACUUUGUUAGUUUAUUUGUUUUCUUGAUAGAUUAAUCUAUAUAGAUAUUAUCCAUUUUAGGCUUAAAAAGUUUUCACGAUUUAAAAACAUGUUUAUAAAAUUAAGAGGAGUUCCUACAUAAAUAUAUAACAUCAAAUUCUUUUUUUCUCCUAUAUAUAUAUAUAUAUAUAUAUUUAUUUAUUUAUUUAUUCAACUUAGGUAAGCUUACCAAACUUAGCUGAGUUAUAUGUUUGUUAAUUUCCUUAUUUUUUUGAUAAAUUAAUCUGUAUAGAUAUUAUCUGUUUCAAGCCUAAAGAGUUUUCACGAUUUAAAAACAUGUUUAGAAAAUUAAGAGGAGUUAAUACAUAAAUAGCAUCAAAUUUUUUUCUUUUAUCUAAUGUGAGAUUUCAUAUAUAUAUAUAUAUAUAUAUAUACACAAUUGCAAUUGAGUUGUUACAUAACUAAUUUUGGUUUUAUGGUCUAAUUCAUGCAUGGCAACCAAAGCAACCCCUGAGAUGAACUUGAAGCUUCUAAUCAACACACAGGACAAUAAAGUUGUCUUCGCUGAAGCUGAAAAAGAUUUCAUAGAUUUACUGUUCAACCUCCUAACUUUGCCUAUUGGCACCAUUGUGGGUUUCCUCCCAAAAGAAGUUUGUCUAGGAGGCCUGCAUAAGAGUGUGAAAAAACUAGAGGGAGCUUACUUGCAGCCUAACCAGAGCUCAGACUCGCCCUUGAAGUUGAACACACCAGCAUAUGCUAUUCUUCCUCUCUUUAAUCCUUCUUCAUCAAGGAGUAAUGAUCCUUUCUUUCAUUGCUCUUCAUCAAGGAGUUAUGGUCAUGUGCAGGGCUUGGUUACCUACAUGGUGACUGAUGACUUGUCGAUUACACCCAUGUCCCUGACAGCAACCAUGGCUUUGUUUAAGAAGUGCAACAUAGAGGAAGUUAAUGUUCUUGAGGAGAAGGUGGUUAAAAUUGGUUUUGAUGAGGUAAACAAUCCUCUAGCUUAUUGGGUUUUAAUUGAUUUCUUUUCUAGCCUAUUCUCUUGUAGAUUUGGUUGGAGUUAUCUUUUUUCCAUAACACAAUUAAUUGGUAGAUGUUACUUGCAAAUCAAUUACCAAAUCAUUAAGCCUUGUUUGUUUGGUAAUUGAUUUUGAAAAUAGUUUUUUAUUUUGUAGAAUAAAAAGAAAAACACAUUUUCAAUUAAGAAACAAAAAAUAUAAUGUUUUUAAGUUGCUUUUAAAAAUAAUUAUAGAAAUACAAAAGAAUUAUUAAAAAUAAAGCAUUACAUGUAUUUAAAAACAUAAACAAAAAGUAAAUUAAAAAACAUUUUAGAUUCGUGUUUUUGUUUUAUAAAAUACCAUAAAAUAGUUUUUAAAAACCGUUUUCAUGAAUGUUUUUAAAAACAUAGCCUUCAUUUUUCUUUAAAAGUUUUGAAAGGUACAUUCUUUUUGAAUGUUUAUUUAAUCAAUCUUUUUGUUCACUUUUCAGGCUUUGCAGUUGUUGAAGUGUUCUCUGCAGUCCAACGCAGCUCUCACUGAAGUCUUCCUUGAGAAAGAAGAAACACAACAGUCCAAAGCAGCUCCCGCAGUUGCCGCAGUUGGCGCACCUCCCGCAGUUGCCGCAGUUGGCGAUAUGGGGUGUGGUUGUGGAAUCAGUUGCUGGUAGUGGGUAUGAUAGAUAGGGAGGUGGUGAGCUUGUCAUGACGUUUCAAACAGGAGCGGUUGCCGCAGUUGCCGAAGUUGCCGCACGUCCCGCACCUCCGGCAGUUACCAUUAACAGUCGCAGCUACCGCUGAAGUAUUACAAAUACAAAAGGACUAUGAAUAUGAUUGUUUGAGCAGGAGACCGACGUAGUAUUAAACUCCGUUUUCGAAUUUGCAAAAAUAAAAAAAUUGUAAGUCUCUAAAUAAUGUUUAUUUUUACAUGCCUUUAUAUAAUGUAAACUCUAUUUGUCCCCAAUUUUAUAGAACUAGAAUAAGAAGAAUAAUAAUUAACCUGCUAUAUAAUUUGUUCAAGAUCUAUUCAAAUUAAAGAGAAAGCCGAAGGGAGAUUUACUAUUAUAAAUACUCCACAAAAAUUUAUUCGAACCCAUCAAAAGCAACCGAUUGGUUCAAUUUUUAACAAUCAUGAAGUUCGGUUGGGUUUUAUUAUUAUAGUCAAAACAAUUUUCAAAUACAUCAAUUCUACAACCAACGUAUAUUUAAAAACUUAAAAUGUUCUUAAUAUGUUUUUCAUAUUUUUAAAUAUACUUUAAAAAUAACUUUUAUUGCAAUAAUUUAUUUUUAAUUAUUUUUCAUAUAUUAUAUAAUUAUUAUUUAAAAUAAUAUUUAAAAAAUAAGUAAAAAUUAUUAAAAGGUAUUAUAUGAAAAAUAUUAUAUUUUUUAUUUUUUAAAAUAAAAGGAUGUGUGGAUCCCGCAUUUUUGCACGUGUUUCCACUCGAAUGGUGAACUCGUUUUUUUAUUUGAAAAAAGAUUUAUUUUUUUAGAAAACGACUUGAAGUUGCUAUUUAUUUUUGUUUUAUUUUUAAAGGGAAAACAAAAUAAGAAAGAAAACCCUAAGUGUGACUCCUUAUUUGGAAAAGAAGGUUUGUGAAAAACUAAAUCUGGGUUUGGGGGUCAGGUUACUUAUUAGGAAGGUACGGUGAAGACCGUAACACCCCUCUAAGCCUCUAAAAAUAGAUCUCUACUAAAUAAAAUAAAACAAGCAUGAUAAUCGAUAAGGAAAUCAAUGGAUACCAAAAUAAUCAUACACUGGAAGCCAAAACAUGCAUAGAGAAUAGUCAAAGUGAGAGUGAGACAAUACCUUAGCGAUGAACAAUAAUGCGCUAUCAUGAAAUGAGGUUAGUGCACAAUAAUGAGUACAAAAUAUAUCACAUGCAUCACUAAACAGAAUAAGAAACCAUUAUUGACAGACACUGCACUUCACUCAAAUUUAUUUUUAUUUUAAAGAAAACAUCACUGAUGUUGGGUCCCCGCCAAAACCCAAUUUAUUUUAUAUGAAUUAAUUCCACGAAUUCCACGACUUGGAGUUAUAGAAUUUAAUUCAUACUUAUUUUAAAACAAUUUAAAAAUCAAGAAGGAAAAAAAUGUGAAAAAUGCUUGCUAAAGAUAAAAUGACAACAAAUUUUAUUGAAAAUGGGAUUUUUGAGACCUAAAAAUUUUUAAGGAUGAAAAGUUGUGGAAUCAAAACAAGAUUUUUAUUUUGAAAAUCAAUUUUAAAAGACACGCAUGAAGAUGGAUAAAAAAAACACAUGGGUUUUGAAAAGGAGCAUAAGAGGGUGGCCAAUGAAAAAUGGGGUCAUGCGUGUGGGCCCGGGGUGGAGAUAGGCAAUCACUAAUGAGGGUGAUCCCCAUCUGGGUGGUGUAUUGUACAAAGCAGAAAACCCAAUUUCGAUUCCACAUAGUUGUAUCUUUGCCGCUUCUUUAACUUUCAUUUUUGCUUUGGCAACAUUUGCAUUGGUUGGCACCAUAUUUGCUUACUCAACCUUUGGCUCAGGUUUUCUAUUUUCUAAAGAAUAGGUUGGGAGACCUUCCUCUAAAUUAGAAUCAUCAAAUUCAGAAAUUUUUUGACUCAAACUCAAAUCAUGGACUUGUAUAGUCUACAUGUGGGGUUGACAAAGGUAAAUCUGGUAGAGGUUUGAAUGCAUGUGGAUGGCAGCAUGGGGGUCGAGCAGUGCCAAAGUGGGACUGCAUGAUAAUUCCUCUCUUGCCAAUGAUGAAGAGUCACCUAAGAUCUCUAAGGCCACUUGACUUUUUAUCCGUUUAAACCCAUGCGAGAUGCGAGAGCACACCUGGCAACGAGGCUACAUUUGGCAUGAGAGUCACGUGAGGAAAUGGAGCGGGGUCAGAGAUUAAAAGGGCUCAUGCAAAGGAUUGAAGGAACUGAUGCAGGUCAUUGGAGAUAGAACAAGACGAUAGCUUCUCUCCUCUUCCCUGCAGCCUUACAGUCUUGUGGAUAGUGGAACCUUUCAUUCCAACGUGGAACAACAAGAUCUUUAAUUGUGCCAAAUACAACUUGCUCAAACAGAUUGUACAGUCCCAUCUUCACCAAUUACUUCCAACUCUAGGGAUGUCUUCUCCUUCAGAACCACCAAACUCAAGGUCUCGAUCCUUGUCUGGGUUACUUAGGUCAGCUUCCUGAAGAAAAUUUAAACAGCAUAGGAUCACAUGUUGACAUUUAAGCAUCCAUUGAACGGCAAAAACGGAAACGUUCACCUUGGUUAAUUCCGUGAAAGGCCAUUUCUAGCUCUUUUCUGGUAUUCAGGAAGCUCCUCCAGUGCUUGAUGGUGCGAGAAUUACAGGUCAAUGAGCUCUUCCCUUCUACACCCGGAUUCAGUCCAAAACGAGAGUGCGUGCUCUCUUUCAGCCAAAGGAGGAAGGAGCAGGGAGCAACCAACCUCACAGAGAGAGCCCUUCCUUUUCUUUUAUGUAUAUAUAUAAAUAAAUAAAUAUAUUCAUAUAUAUAUCACACACAUUAUUUGGACCACCACUUGACUUAAUGGGCCAGUCAAGUGAAUUAGGGUGAGCCCAUAAAAAAUCAAGCAACAAUAUGUGUCCAGUCCCAUUAUGGACCACAAUGCAAAAAUAAAUAACACUGAUUUAUGACAUUAUUAAAUUGAUUAUGUAAGUCCACACAUAAAAAUUCCAACAAUCUCCCACUUGGACUACAUAAUCAAACAUUACAACAUACACAUAAUCAUAAAUCAAUGUCCCAUAGAAUCUCAUCAAAAAUAAAUAAUCAAAAGCAAUCAUAUAUGCUUCAUUGCUUGAUUCAUAGGGAAAUGUACAAUAAUAGCAAUCCUUUCAACAAUAACAUAGUAUUACAAUACCAAAAAUGGCUCCCACUAACUUAAUACAACCUAGGCUUCCAACAACCCCAUUUGAGAUACAUGUUCCUGAAACGCAAUUAUGGGUAAGCCUUUUGUUAAUGGAUCUGCCAACAUACUUUUUGUGGACAUGUGUUCAAUGUCAAUAAGAGACUUUGCCACUUUCUCCUUAACAAAAUAGAACUUUACAUCAAUAUGUUUGGAGCGAGAAAUACUCCUAGUGUUCUUGGAGAAAGCAACAGCUGCGGAAUUAUCACAAAAUAAUUUCAGCGGUCUAGAAAUGGAGUCAACAACUCCUAAAGCUGAAACAAAAUUCCGCAUCCACAUAGCAUGACAACAAGCCUCAUAACAUGCCACAUACUCUGCCUCCAUAGUUGAGGAUGCUGUAAGUGUCUGCUUUACACUUUUCCAAGAUACAGCUCCUCCUGCCAUCAUAAAAAUAUAGCCCGUAGUGGAUUACUUAUCAUCUAUGCAACCAGCAAAAUCAGCAUCACAAAACCCAACUACAUUAAGUAAGCUGGUGCGCUGAUAUGUCAACAUUAAGUCCUUAGUUCCUUACAAAUACCUAAGGACCUUCUUAGCUGCUUUCCAAUGUUGACUUCCAGGAUUGCUCAAGUACCUUCCCAACAUGCCCACAACAAAAGCAAUAUCAGGGCGUGUACCUACUUGAGCAUACGUAAGGCUGCCCACCAUAGAUGAAUAAGGAAUGGUCUUCAUUUCCUCUCUCUCAUCAUCAUUUUGAGGACACUGAGCCUUUGAAAAUUUAUCACCCUUCACAAUUGGCGCUUUAGUAGAUUUACAGUUGUGCAUAUUGAACCUCUUCAAUAUCCUUUCAAUAUAAGCUCUUUGAGACAAUUUAAGCACUCCAUUAGCCCUAUCACGAAGAAUCUUUAUGCCCAAAACAUAAGAAGCCUCACCAAGAUCCUUCAUGUCAAAAUGGGUUGACAACAUGUGCUUUGUCUCAAUCAACAAGUUAGGAUCAUUUGACGCGAGUAGUAUAUCAUCAACAUAUAAAACAAGAAAUAUGUAACUACUCCCACUGACCCUCAAAUAUAUGCAUCUGUCAACUGUAUUCUCUUUAAAACCAUUUUGGAUGGUAAUACUAUCAAACUUCAGAUACCACUAGAUCUUUCAUCAACAGAGCUCACAUCUUCAAAAUAUACAACCCUGUCUAACUCAAUGAUCCUGGUGGUAUGAGAUGAACAAUAAAAUCUGGAACCCCUUGAUCCAAUGCAAUAGCCAACAAAGAAACCACUAAUGGUUUUAGGAUCAAGUUUCUUUGACUGUGGGUUUUAGGGCCUAACCACGCUUCUACUGCGCAUAGCUCAUAAGGUGUCUUAAGCACAGACUUACUGGACACUUGAUUCAAAAUAUAUGCCGCAGUCCUUAAGGCUUCACCCCACAGAAAUUCUGGUAAGGAGGAAUUAGACAACAUGCACCUCACCAUAUCCAACAAUGUGCGAUUCCUCCUUUCUGCAACCCCAUUCUGUUGAGGAGUGCCUGACAUUGUAUAUCUAGCAUCAAUGCCGCAUUCCAACAGAAACUUAGCAAAUGGUCCAGAAUUCCAUCGAGUCUCAUCAUAUCUCCCAUAAUACUCACCAUCUCUAACCAAUCUCUCUAAUCUUUGCCUAGAAAUAUGACCUAGGCGUUUGUGCCACAAUAUGGAAGAACUCAAAUUUACUUGGCUUAUCAACUCUCAAAGCCCAGUCCAAAAUGUGCAUAAUCAUAUGCACAUUGAAAGACUCAAAACAUUCCUCAAAAUUAUUCCAGUAAGAGGUUUGAUGGCAGACAAUUGCAGAGUAAUACCAGGAUUGCUAGUAGCUGGAAAAUAGCAAAUUAAGCAAUAUGCAUUUUACUUCAAAAUCAUGCAUUUGCUAGUUUCUAGAAUUUCUCAAUUUAGCAAUAGCUUGGAAUUUUAAAAAUUCCACGGCGGUAAGGACAACUAAUUAAAUAUCACAACCAAGAUGCACUAAUUUUAUUACCGAAAGGGCAAAGAAAAUUAGUACGAUUCAUAAUAUAAAAUUAAUUUCCUUCACCAAUCCAAGCAUCCUACCAAAUAUUAUAAUCAUCAAUAGGACAAUCACAAUACCCGUAUGGACCUUAGUUAUCACAAUAAUAAAACAAUCAAAAGAUGGAGAUAAAAUAUCUCAACAAAGACAAUUUGACACAUAUAGGAUCACGAUAUGCAACCACACAUAUGUUCACUAUUGUCAUGAAUAAAAUUCAAAAUAUCUUAAUUUCACAAUUUGACACACUUGGAAUUGUGAUAGGCAAUCACACAAGUGUGCUUCAUUUCCUCAAUAAAUUGAAAUAUUUAACAAAAUUGACAUAGGACAACAUUAUUGAUAUUAGGAAAAAUUAUACCAUAAAGAACAAUAAUAAUAAUAAUUGUCCCAAUAAAGUCAAAUUUAACAAAUGCAUAAAAAUUCUAGCAUAUGCACAAUCAUUCCAAUAAUACCAAGGCAACAAACAAACAAAAAAAAAAAAAUUGGUUUUUUUUUUUUUAUGACGUCAUGAUGACGUCAUCACGUCACUAUUCAUCUCCUUCUCCAGCUGAACACGGCCUGGUGCAGGAGAAAAAAAAGUUUUCCUUUUUCGGCCAAAAUUUUGGGCAUUUUCCGACAAAAAACGCUUAGAUUUCCAUCCUCAAACAUCAAACCUUCAAUCUAAUCCCAAAAUUUGCACAAAAAAACGCAUAAUAGAAAGAACCAAAGCAAGCCCUAAUUCUCGAAAUCCCACCAAACAAGCUCCAAAAAUCAAAUAAAAUGAUGGGUUUUGCUCCAAACAAUAUUCUCUACAAGUUUCCAACAACAAUCGGGCUUGAAAACAGAGAAUCAACAUCAAACGAGAAAUAAAAUUCCAAAAAAAUGGCUUCCACCACAGGAAACGGGAAACCCAAAAAUUAACCCAAAAUUGCAGCUCAAAUGCCAUCCAUGUUGGCUCUGAUACCAAUUGAAGAAAAUUUAAACAGCAUAGGAUCACAUGUUGACAUUUAAGCAUCCAUUGAACGGCAAAAACGAAAACGUUCACCUUGGUUAAUUCCGUGAAAGGCCAUUUCUAGCUCUUUUCUGGUAUUCAGGAAGCUCCUCCAGUGCUUGAUGGUGCGAGAAUUACAGGUCAAUGAGCUCUUCCCUUCUACACCCGGAUUCAGUCCAAAACGAGAGUGCGUGCUCUCUUUCAGCCAAAGGAGGAAGGAGCAGGGAGCAGCCAACCUCACAGAGAGAGCCCUUCCUUUUCUUUUAUGUAUAUAUAUAAAUAAAUAAAUAUAUUCAUAUAUAUAUAUCACACACAUUAUUUGGACCACCACUUGACUUAAUGGGCCAGUCAAGUGAAUUAGGGUGAGCCCAUAAAAAAUCAAGCAACAAUAUGUGUCCAGUCCCAUUAUGGACCACAAUGCAAAAAUAAAUAACACUGAUUUAUGACAUUAUUAAAUUGAUUAUGUAAGUCCACACAUAAAAAUUCCAACACUUCCUUAAAGCCGCGUCUAUCCAUAUGUCUUGCUUUCACCUGAGUCAUUCCUUUGUUCAUCCUCAAGCUUCUAAUAUUUGUAGCAUGGUCAGGACCAUGUGCUACGCCUUUGAAAUGUAUGCAAGCUCAUCAACUUUUGAUGGAUUUCCAACUCUUGCCUCUUCCUAAACAGUGUCAAGGUUUCCUCACAUCCUCCAUUAAUUUCUACCAAUGCUAGAAAAUAUCAUGCGUGCCAUGCAAGUAGGGGGGUGGGAAAGGUGACAAGGAGAUCGGGUAGAGGAUUGGGUAUAGGUGGAUGGUUGCGAAAGUGAUGAGCUGAAUGGGUGAGUGCGUUCUGGUGAUCAGGUUCGGUGGAUAUGAAUAAUGGGGACUGGUGGGUAUGAAGGGUGUGGGUUAUGAUUGACGGAAUGGGUGGUGGAAGGUAGUGAGAAAAGUGGGUUUAGUGGGUAUUGAAAGAUGGACAUAUGGGUAUGGUGGUUGAAUAAGUUGUUGGUAGUGGGUAUAAUAGAUAGGGAGGUGGUGAGUUUAUCAUGACGUUUUAGACAGGAGCGGUUUGGCUUGAGAUUAAGGUUUGAUAGAAUGGGGUUUCAGUUGAGGGUUUUACGAAGGUUUUGGGUGGCCAUGCAUGGCAGUGCAAAGGUGGGAGAGAUGGUGGCUACAUCGGCACUUGCGUCCUUGGGCACCCCAUCACCUCGAUACUUCAGCUAGCAUGUCGUGUUCUGGCCCUGGCAGGUGUCACACUGGGCUAUCAUAGAAGAGGGCUCAAAAGCAUUGUUGGUAAUUUCAGCUGCUGAAAGUUGCUUAUGGUAUGCCUUUUCAGCAGAAAUCACAGGAGCAUAAGAAACUUUUUCUGGACUUGUGUACCAAUUGAUUCCCAUGAGCAAUAUUUCCUUCUUAAAAAAGUCUUGCUUAUUUUCUUUUAUCUGUUCAACACUUCAAUUUCCCCAGAUGCCUACUACUCAUGCAUUCAGUUCCAAAAGUGUUCUAAAUCAAGAGAAAGCGCUGACACUAGGGGACCCCUCGAGGUGUGUCCCUAUAGAAGCUAAAUCCAUGCUAACAAGACUCUCAUCUUCACAUUCAAGCACUACUCUCUGGAAGCACCAGGGGUACUCUUCACGCUAAUUAAUGGUGCCAACAAAAUCAAUUCUGAGCUUGGAAGACACUCUCAACAGCUAGACUUCUUCCACAACUGAAGCUAUUGGACCAACCUGAGCUCUUCAAAAAGCACACAUAUCAAGAUGGCCAACCCAAACAUGAUACCCACCACUCCAAAAAUACCAGAAACAGAGGAGAAAGUAAAAAAAAAAAACAAAAACAAAGCAUGCACAAACAAAAAUAAUAUGGUUAAACCUAGCUCCAUUUCAUAAAGGUCAAUGGGCUAGAUACAGGUGGAAUCAAAAGGAAGCAAGAGCAUGAUCUUUGAUAAUCAGAUUCAGUGAUGGAUCCAUAUUCAACUCGUUCAUGAAUAGAGAAAUGCACAAGUUGCUUACAAACAGAGCUAAAAGAACCAUACUAGAAUAAAAGAAAAUGCAUAAAAAUUGGUCUUAGAUUUCACAAAUAUGCACAAUAUCUGAUGUCAACAUUCAAGCACCAAGAUGAAUCCAAAAUCAGCAGGAAACAAGGGAGAAUAGUCUAAAAUGGGAAAAUGUAAAAUAUGUUGUAAUCAUGACUGGAUAAGAAAAAGAGUAGCGAGCUGAUUCUGUGCUUCUUCUCCUUCGCUUUUUCGCUUCUUGUCUUUGCUGCUCUAAAUGCCCCUUUCUACUCUCUAACUCCUUAUGGAAUGGCCCUCACUUAAGCUGAAAUUAUCUCUCUACCGAUUCACUAUUUCUAUUUCACACAUUUUUUUCAGCUCUCACUUAAAACUACCCUUGAAUCCCAGAAAAUGAAAACCUACUAUUCUCAUCCUCAGUUCCUUUGUAAAACCCUUUUCCUUUUUUUUCCUCAGUUGGUUUCUUCCUCAAGCUCCCCUUCCCCUAAUGGCCUCAAAACCGUCCUCAAAAUCUUCUCACA